Molecule: ribosomal RNA, 303 nt
Filed under: uncultured bacterium
Lineage: Bacteria
Description: partial 16S ribosomal RNA
Rfam family: Bacterial small subunit ribosomal RNA
Source: RNAcentral
AGAGUAGCCGCGGUAAUACGUAGGGUGCAAGCGUUAAUCGGAAUUACUGGGCGUAAAGCGUGCGCAGGCGGUUCGUUAAGACAGAUGUGAAAUCCCCGGGCUUAACCUGGGAACUGCAUUUGCGACUGGCGGGCUAGAGUAUGGCAGCGGGGGGUAGAAUUCCACGUGUAGCAGUGAAAUGCGUAGAGAUGUGGAGGAAUACCGAUGGCGAAGGCAGCCCCCUGGGCCAAUACUGACGCUCAUGCACGAAAGCGUGGGGAGCAAACAGGAUUAGAUACCCGAGUAGUCCCUGUCUCUUAUACA